AUUUUAUCUGUUUAGGGAUUCGAGGACGUGUGAGAAGCGUCCACUUUUGCAGUUAUCCUAGCUUUUAGUUCACUCGCCGUUGUAAUGGAAAUCGGUCGCAAUCUCCGUCGCUUGUGUUGGUUCCACAUCCUCCCUUAUUGGAGAACAUUUGUAGUUUUCCUGACGCCCAUCCUGCUCCUACCAGUUCCUCUAAUCGGGACUCAGGAAGCUUUGACUGGAUAUGUUGUCGUCAUUAUGGCAGUCUACUGGAUGACCGAGGCCCUUCCUCUGCCCGUUACGUCACUGUUACCCAUAAUCGCCUUCCCGUUGCUGGGUAUCAUGAACACGGGUCAAGUUUGUAUGAACUAUUUCUCGGAGACCGUUGUGAUGUUUAUCGGAGGGUUGAUGGUGGGUCUGGCCGUCGAAUAUUCAAACUUACACAAGAGAAUCGCUCUCAGAGUGUUGAUGCUCGUUGGAACCGAUCCCAAAUGGCUGAUGAUGGGCUUCAUGAGCGUGACGAUGCUUUUAUCCAUGUUUGUUUCCAACACUGGAGCUUGCGCUAUGAUUUGUCCCAUCGUUGAAGCUCUGGUGCAAGAACUCUUUCACAAAGAUUCUAAGGAAAACGAAGGAGAAGACAAAACUCAACUCACGGCCGAAGAAAAUCAAGUUGUGCGGGAAGAGUUUGCAGACGAUGAUGACGACGUGCGAUCACGUAGAGCACGUAGGGUCCGCGUCACCCUGUUGCUUUCGAUCGCCUAUUCGGCCAACAUUGGGGGCACUGGGACACUGAUAGGAUCGACCCCUCAACUCGCCUUGAAAGGAAUCGUUGAAGAACUCUAUGGGGAAGACAACGACCUGUCCUUCUCUUCGUGGAUGCUCGUCCUUAUGCCGGCCGUACUGAUAAGCACCGCUUUAACUUGGGUUUGGCUGCAAUUCCUCCUCUCCGGAUUCAAAUGCCAAAAACAAAUAGAGAAUGGAGUCAAGAGCCAAAGUGCUCGAGUCAAAAAUCUCAUCCGGACCAAGUAUCAAGAGUUGGGACCGACCAGCUUCAACGAGAAAACGAUUCUAUUCCUUUUUCCCGUCUUGGUCAUGCUGUGGAUGUUUCGCGAUCCCAAGUUUAUCGCUGGAUGGGGCUCACUCUUUUCAAAGAAAAUAGGGGAUUCCGUGCCUGUGCUACUGAUUAUUUUGAUUCUUUUCAUUCUGCCCAUCAAGCCGGAUUUCUGGUGUUUCAGGAGUGCUGGAUCGGAAAAUGAACGGCCCAAAGCCAGUCCCGCCAUGCUCACAUGGGAGUUCAUGCACGAAAAGUUACCUUGGGGUCUAGUCCUUUUAUUGGGAAGUGGAUUUGCCCUUUCGGACGCUUCGAAAAUAUCGGGCCUUUCCAAAUGGCUCGGCCAUCAAUUGUCGGCCCUACAAGUCCUACCGCCGUUUUCCAUCUUGAUUAUUUGCUGCAUGUUGACAACUUGGAUGACUGAAAUUGUCAGCAAUACAGCCACCGCUAAUAUUGUCCUGCCCAUAUUGGCGCAAAUGGCCGACACCAUUCAUGUUAAUCCGCUCUAUCUGAUGAUUCCAGCGGCAGCCACUUGCUGCUACACGUUCGUCCUCCCGGUUGGAACUCCCGCUAAUGCCAUCGUCUACAACAGCGCCAGGAUGAAACCCUUGGACAUGGUUAAAGCUGGGAUUGUGACUAAAAUGAUGUCUGUUUUAAUUCUCUGCGUCGUGAUGGAAACUAUUGGCAGAGGCAUUUUCCCGGUGAAUAUUAUCGAGUCUUCCUUGAAUGCGAACAAUAGUACAUCACUGUAGUUUGAAUCUUUUUCAACGGCAAUCGUCCAGCUUCGAAUUUCAAGCAAACGAUAUUAUUUUAUAAUAAAGUAAACCGUUUAUACUUCUCUGCUGAAUAUGCUGUAAUAAUGCCAUUCCGAAUAAAGUUAGAAAUAAAGAAAUUCAACGAGGUUAAUAUUUUGAGCACCAGAUGGCUCUACCAUACGACAACAAAAAGAGCAGAAUUCAGAAUUGCCAAAAAUUACGUCGUUUCAUUUCAGCUUUUUAAUUAAUUAAUAAACCAUGGAACAAAAGUCGAGUUUCCAGUUGAUGAACCAAGAAGAAAGAGAGAAAAAGUUGGAUGAACUUCAAGUAUUGGAGAAGGAGUUGGGAACUUUGAAGAAGAAUGCGAGAGUAUAUCAAAGUCAUGGUAACAGCAACCUUUUCUUCCUUGCUGAACGGCAAAAAAUCCACUCUGAAACAAAUUUGAGCCUGGCUAAGCUCACUGACACACACAACAAAUUGCAAAAGUGAAGGAAGAAAAACUCUUAGAUCUAAUUGUUGUGUAAGGUGCACUGUGAAAGACACUUGAUUGCAAAUUCCAAUACACGAUAUGAAUGAA
RNAcentral lists this unclassified non-coding RNA (2359 nucleotides) under Daphnia pulex (common water flea). Its description in RNAcentral is "solute carrier family 13 member 2-like, transcript variant X2". The record is from RNAcentral. Lineage: Eukaryota; Metazoa; Arthropoda; Branchiopoda; Diplostraca; Daphniidae.